CAGCCGCCACGGUAAAACGGAGGGGGCUAGCGUUGUUCGGAAUUACUGGGCGUAAAGCGCACGUAGGCGGCUUGGUAAGUUAGAGGUGAAAGCCCGGAGCUCAACUCCGGAAUUGCCUUUAAGACUGCCGAGCUAGUAGGUGAGAGAGGUAAGUGGAAUUCCGAGUGUAGAGGUGAAAUUCGUAGAUAUUCGGAAGAACACCAGUGGCGAAGGCGGCAUACUGACUCAUUCUAGACGCUGAGGUGCGAAAGCGUGGGGAGCAAACAGGAUUAGAUACCCCCGUAGUCCCUGUCUCUUAUAC
Molecule: ribosomal RNA, 301 nt
Filed under: uncultured bacterium
Lineage: Bacteria
Description: partial 16S ribosomal RNA
Rfam family: Bacterial small subunit ribosomal RNA
Source: RNAcentral